GAUGCAGGAUCAUCAAAUGAAAUCUUAGUGAAAGAACCCAGAAAAUCCCGUGGUUUCUGCACUUCAGACCAUAUAAAAUCUGAUGCCAGACCAACUUUCUCCAGUACCGUGACUCCAGGCGCAUACCCGCCACGAGUUCUCUUCUUUGCACUCUUAGGAUCAAGUACAUCCGUAGGCAUGCUCUUCUCUGGAUCCACACUGAACAGGUGCUUGAUAUCAAGAAGCUCUGGUUGAAUCUUUGCAGGGGCUUUGUACUUCAGGCAGAUGAUGUAAAUUUCAGCCGAUGUGCCACGACUCGCUCUAGGUUUAGUCACCUCGACCUUUUCAAACAGCUGCUUCAGGCAGAACAUGAUGGCGCUGUAAUCCUGAGACCUGAAGACCUUGGUGGUGACGAAGGUGCCAUUGGGGGCGAGGAACGCGGUGGCCAGGCGGACGGCGUCGAUGACGAGCGCGGACUGCGCGGUGGCCUCCUGCGCCCACGCGCCGCCGACGUUGGGCGAGCCGUCAUGGAGGACGACGUCGAAGGCGGCGACCCCCUUGGAAUCCAUGAACCUCCGCACGGCGGAGCGGCACUUGGUGGUGGUGAUAUCCUCCGUGAGCGAGUGCGCGCCGCGGACGGGGCGGAUGGGCACGAGGUCGACGCCGACGACGAAUGCGCCGACGCGGGCGCGGGCGACGGCCACCUGGACCCACCCACCCGGCGCCGCGCAGAGGUCAAGCACGGCGCGCGCCGCCGGGAGGAACCGGAAGCGGUCGUCGAGCUGCUGCAGCUUGAAGGCCUUCCAAAUUCGGACUGAGCUGUUAUAUAGUACGUCCUGCGGCGUGCCAAGGUUACGAGCCUUCCAAAUCCUCAGUUAUGGCUGCUACAGCGUUUUCGAUUCCGGCGCCGUGGUCAGAACUCCCGCUGGACGUACUAGACCUCGUCAUCGACCGCCUCAUAUCCUCCCCUCCACGGAGAGGCUUCUUCUCCUCUGCGUGGUGGCAAGUCCGACGGGUCCUUGGUUUCUCCGUUGACUUCGAGAAGGUGCGACGCGACCGUCAUUGGGUCUCUGCCGCCGAUCGAGCCCGCUUCCGUGUGGUGUGCCGUUCGUGGCAUCUGGCUAUGCGACGGCACCUUUCGGCUUCACGACAGCUACCCUGGAUUGUCAUGUCAGACGGCUCGUUCUACACACCUUCAGACGCUGUUUGCACCUCGCCGUCCCGGCUCCCCACCUUGCCCAGCAACACAACGUGCAUUGGCUCCACCGACGAUUGGCUCGCCCUCGACUUCAUCGACGCCAAGAAGAUGCAUAGCUACUACUUGCACAAUCCGUUUGCUGGCACCAUUCUGCCGCUCCCCGAGCUGGAUGCUGUCAUUGGCCAAGUUUCUGAGCUUUUCGAGGCCCGUAAAGUGCUCAUGCGAUCAAUGCCUUCGGACAUCGUCGCUGUCAUGACCAAUAACUGGAAUCAUCCCCUCAUCUUAAUCCGUCCAGGGAAAGGUGUGUGGUUGCCUGAGCCACAAAGUGCUCCUUUCGUGGACAUCGUUGACAUUGCUUUUCUUGGCGAUAAAUUAUAUGGAAUCAUCGAGGCAGAGGACCUUGUUUCUCUCGGUAUAGAAUUUAAUAGUGAUGGCAAUGCCCACGGUUACUAGCACCGAGUACCUCAUUAGGCACCCAUUGGCAAAUUCAAGUCGCGGUGUGUGGCGCGAAGUUGACGAUAACUUUGAUUCCAGCAACAAUGAUAAGGGCGGUAAGGAUGAGGUCACAAAUAGUUUUGAGGACCAUACCGAGGCAGUGAGCGAGGAUUCUGAGGAGCGUGCCUUAGAUGAACUUCGAAAGAAAACUGGCGAUGACAUGAUUCUCGAGGGCGCUACAAGUUGGUUAGAUGACGAUGUUCCUUAUGAACCCAAGGAUAUCAUCACCGUCAUUCGAUACCUGAUUGAGUCACAUGGGAAACUGCUCAUGGUGAAGAGACAAUUGCAUUGGCCUCCAUAUAGUAUCAACUUCACUAGCAAGGUGGAGGUUUACAAGAUGGAUGUCAACGAUGACAUGCACUGGGUGCCAGUUUCAGGUGGGCUAAGCGGCAAAGCACUUUUCAUCAGCAGAUUCUUCUGCAAGUCCAUUCAUACCUGUGAAGAAGGGGACCGUGAUGCUCUUCAUUUUAUCGACAGUGGUGAAAAAUACGAUAUGAAAUCCCAAAUUGUGAGCCCGAGCUGGAGAGAUAUUGAUCUCUAUAGGUCCACAUGGAUAUUUUCUCAGGAGCUAGUGGUUUGAUAAUAUUUGUAAUAAUAUAUCAUCAGUUAGCUAGGUGAUCCACCGGAUCUUUUCUUGAAAUUAGUGGUUUAAUAAUUUCUAUAACACCAUAUAUUUAUUUGUGAGAGACGACAAGGCGUCCUUUUAUGCAUAAGAAGUGUACAUAGUAGAUACUCGACUUCCAUCAGAUCAAUUUCCGUGCUUCAUGUAAAGUUGUUACAUUUCUCAAACGAUCAACAGCCUAAUGAGUUCUAAUGAAAUAUACAUGCCGCUCAGAAGUUAUGCACGAACAAAAUUGAUGCAUAUAUGUAACAAUAUAAUUGGGUUCGUCAGAACUAAUUAAUGUUUGUUUUAUGGAAAAAAACAUUUGCACUUGUUUUUCAGUUAGUUGGGUUGUUAGAUUGCUCCUUCUCUUUCUGUUGAUUGAUUAUGAUCUUUUGAGUGCAGAAUGUUAACAAAUUGCUGCAUCAUCAUGGCUAAGCCACCUCUUAACUUGAAGAGUAGCAUAAUGUGUGUCCGCUUAAUAUUAUCAGCUAUACAUGCUUCAUGGAUUAUUCGAAUUUUAUUUAGGGGAGGAUUUUAUGGUUUAUAUUCAAACAUGUGAACACCGCUAUUAUAUGAUAAAACUUCUAAUUCCAUGCUAUUAUAUGCUUCUUUUCCUAACUGACGGAACACAAUGUAUAAUAGAGCAUGUUUGAAUAUAAACUUCUAAUUCCAUGCUAUUAUAUGCUUCUAAUUCCAUUGCUCGGAUCUCACAUAAUGCCUAGUUACUCAUUCAUGCCUUGCUAAACUAACUUGACUCAAUGGUCAAUGCCUUGCUAAAUUAACUCUGCUGCUGAACUUCUUCUCAGCUUUCCCUCGCAUGCCUCAUUUCUUCUGGUUGGCGGAACCCUUCAUCCCUUCCCCCCUUUAGCGCCUCCUUUGCCACCCUUCCCCUUCUUCCUGCUUCUGUGAACAUAUCCUGACUGAACCACUGCUUUACAAUCUUGCUCUUCUGUUGGUUUCUCUGUAUCUAGACAUAAUAAAAGGGGGCUAUAGUCUCUUGGUCUUGAUCUUCAUUAGAACCUUGAUCCAUGCCAAUGUCGCCACCAUCAUCUUCACCCCCCUCUAACGAACCUGCAUCAGCAUCAGGAUCGAUUCGCUUGGCUCGUUUGUCUUCUUGUUUUACUUCUUCACCCUUUUUGGUCACAUAACGCACAUAAGCUUCAUCAAGCAUCUCCUCCAGUUGGUGUUCUUCAUCAGAAUCCAUUUCUUCCAUUUCCUGUAAAAGCUGAACAUCAUCUUUGACCUUUGGUGUAACCUGCGAAGAUGAUGGCUACGCUUUCCUUAUGCGUGUGCGCCACUUCAAGAUACGCUUGAAGCUAUUUUUAUCCAGCACCUGCAAAUCCUCACAAAGGUAUUUUACCUCAUCUGUGGGGAGCUCAUGGUUCUUGAUAGGCAGAGAUGCAGGAUCAUCAAAUGAAAUCUUAGUGAAAGAACCAAGGAAUUCCCGGGGUUUCUGUGCCUCGGACCAUAUGAAAUCUGAUGCAAGGCCAAUCUUCUCCAGUACCGUGACUCCAGGCUCAUACCCGUCACGAGUUCUCUUCUUUGCACUCUUAGGAUCAAGCACAUCCGUAGGCAUGCUCUUCUCUGGAUCCACGCUGAACAGGUGCUUGAUAUCAAGAAGCACCGGUUGAAUCU
Molecule: long non-coding RNA, 3911 nt
Filed under: Triticum aestivum (bread wheat)
Lineage: Eukaryota; Viridiplantae; Streptophyta; Magnoliopsida; Poales; Poaceae
Description: long non-coding RNA (TAES_LNC009517)
Source: RNAcentral